GGGCCGUUAGCUCAGUCUGGUAGAGCGAAAGACUCUUAAUCUUUAGGUCACGGGUUCGAAUCCCGCACGGCUCA
Molecule: transfer RNA, 74 nt
Filed under: Candidatus Woesearchaeota archaeon CG10_big_fil_rev_8_21_14_0_10_34_8
Lineage: Archaea; Nanobdellati; Candidatus Woesearchaeota
Description: tRNA-Lys
Rfam family: tRNA
About the family: Transfer RNA (tRNA) molecules are approximately 80 nucleotides in length. Their secondary structure includes four short double-helical elements and three loops (D, anti-codon, and T loops).
Source: RNAcentral